CCACUGUUGAUGAGUCUCACGAUAGGACGAAACGGCCGUCCAGUGC
RNAcentral lists this non-coding RNA (46 nucleotides) under Schistosoma margrebowiei. Lineage: Eukaryota; Metazoa; Platyhelminthes; Trematoda; Strigeidida; Schistosomatidae. The record is from RNAcentral.